UACAGAGGUCCCGAGCGUUGUUCGGAUUCACUGGGCGUAAAGGGUGCGUAGGUGGUGAGGUAAGUCGGAUGUGAAAUCUCCGAGCUCAACUCGGAAAUGGCAUUGGAAACUACCUUGCUAGAGGGUUGGAGGGGGGACUGGAAUGCUUGGUGUAGCAGUGAAAUGCGUAGAUAUCAAGAGGAACACCUGCGGCGAAGGCGGGUUGCUGGGCCGACACUGACGCUGAAGCGCGAAAGCCAGGGGAGCGAACGGG
Molecule: ribosomal RNA, 253 nt
Filed under: uncultured bacterium
Lineage: Bacteria
Description: partial 16S ribosomal RNA
Rfam family: Bacterial small subunit ribosomal RNA
Source: RNAcentral